GAUGAAGAACGCAGCGAAAUGCGAUAAGUAGUGUGAAUUGCAGAAUUCAGUGAAUCAUCGAAUCUUUGAACGCACAUUGCGCCCGCCAGUAUUCUGGCGGGCAUGCCUGUUCGAGCGUCAUUUCAACCAUCAAGCGCCUCGCUUGUGUUGGGGCCCUGCGGCUGCCGCAGGCCCCUAAAUCCAGUGGCGGGCUCGUCGUCGUACCGAGUGCAGUAAACAUCCUCGCUCAGGGAACCCGACGGGUGCCGGCCGUGAAACCCCCCCUCCUCAAGGUUGACCUCGGAUCAGGUAGGAAUACCCGCUGAACUUAAGCAUAUCAAUAAGCGGAGGA
This 331-nucleotide unclassified non-coding RNA is filed under the name soil metagenome. RNAcentral describes it as "partial contains 5.8S ribosomal RNA, internal transcribed spacer 2, and large subunit ribosomal RNA". The stretch from base 1 to 120 matches the Rfam family "5.8S ribosomal RNA", at positions 35 to 154 of the family's 154-position model. The record is from RNAcentral.